GCGAGAUUGGCUCAGUCGGUAGAGCGUGAGUCUCAUAAUCUCAAGGUCGUGAGUUCGAUCCUCACAUCUCGCA
Molecule: transfer RNA, 73 nt
Organism: Spizellomyces punctatus DAOM BR117
Lineage: Eukaryota; Fungi; Chytridiomycota; Chytridiomycetes; Spizellomycetales; Spizellomycetaceae
Rfam family: tRNA
About the family: Transfer RNA (tRNA) molecules are approximately 80 nucleotides in length. Their secondary structure includes four short double-helical elements and three loops (D, anti-codon, and T loops). Further hydrogen bonds mediate the characteristic L-shaped molecular structure. tRNAs have two regions of fundamental functional importance: the anti-codon, which is responsible for specific mRNA codon recognition, and the 3' end, to which the tRNAs corresponding amino acid is attached (by aminoacyl-tRNA synthetases). tRNAs cope with the degeneracy of the genetic code in two manners: having more than one tRNA (with a specific anti-codon) for a particular amino acid; and 'wobble' base-pairing, i.e. permitting non-standard base-pairing at the 3rd anti-codon position.
Source: Rfam